RNAcentral lists this ribosomal RNA (484 nucleotides) under uncultured bacterium. RNAcentral describes it as "partial 16S ribosomal RNA". It matches the Rfam family "Bacterial small subunit ribosomal RNA", at positions 30 to 507 of the family's 1533-position model. The record is from RNAcentral.
AUUGAACGCUGGCGGCAGGCCUAACACAUGCAAGUCGAGCGGAUGAAGGGAGCUUGCUCCUGGAUUCAGCGGCGGACGGGUGAGUAAUGCCUAGGGAUCUGCCUGGUAGUGGGGGAUAACGUCCGGAAACGGGCGCUAAUACCGCAUACGUCCUGAGGGAGAAAGUGGGGGAUCUUCGGACCUCACGCUAUCAGAUGAGCCUAGGUCGGAUUAGCUAGUUGGUGGGGUAAAGGCCUACCAAGGCGACGAUCCGUAACUGGUCUGAGAGGAUGAUCAGUCACACUGGAACUGAGACACGGUCCAGACUCCUACGGGAGGCAGCAGUGGGGAAUAUUGGACAUUGGGCGAAAGCCUGAUCCAGCCAUGCCGCGUGUGUGAAGAAGGUCUUCGGAUUGUAAAGCACUUUAAGUUGGGAGGAAGGGCAGUAAGUUAAUACCUUGCUGUUUUGACGUUACCAACAGAAUAAGCACCGGCUAACUUCGUG